Molecule: ribosomal RNA, 510 nt
Filed under: uncultured bacterium
Lineage: Bacteria
Description: partial 16S ribosomal RNA
Rfam family: Bacterial small subunit ribosomal RNA
Source: RNAcentral
GACGAACGCUGGCGGCGUGCUUAACACAUGCAAGUCGAACGAAGAGCGAUGGAGGCUUACUUCUAUCAAUUUUAGUGGCGAACGGGUGAGUAACGCGUAAUCAACCUGUCCUUGAGAGGGGGACAACAGUUGGAAACGACUGCUAAUACGGCAUACGAUCUAAUCUCGGCAUCCAGUAUAGAUGGAAGGUGUUGCCUACAUGUAUACUAUCACUCAAGGAGGGUAUUGCGGCUGAUUAGGUAGUUGGAUGGGUAAAGGCCCAACAAGGGGAAGAUCAGUAGGCCGUCUUGGAGGAUGAACCGCCACAUUGGGAAUGGGACACCGGUCCGAACCCCUACGGGAGGAGGCGUGAGGGAUUCUCCGGAAUGGAGCGAAGGCUGGACGGGGCAAGGCCGGUGAGUGGUGAAGGGUUUCCGGUUGUAAAGACUCUUUAAUCAGGGAGAAAGGAAUUUUUAAGAAACGUGGCACGUCUUGACGGUACCGGAACAGAAAGCCACGGCUAACUACGUG